This 292-nucleotide ribosomal RNA is filed under the name Tarentola sp. CR-2012. RNAcentral describes it as "partial 12S ribosomal RNA". It matches the Rfam family "Bacterial small subunit ribosomal RNA", at positions 892 to 1349 of the family's 1533-position model. The record is from RNAcentral. Lineage: Eukaryota; Metazoa; Chordata; Lepidosauria; Squamata; Phyllodactylidae.
ACUAGAAACUCAAAGGACUUGACGGUGUCCCAAACCAACCUAGAGGAGCCUGUCCUAUAAUCGAUAAUCCACGUUACACCCCACCCCCUCUUGAAACCAGCCUGUAUACCGCCGUCUUUCAGUUCGCCUUAUGACAGCCUAAAGCGAACACAAUAGCCCACUACUAAAACGUCAGGUCAAGGUGCAGCCAAUGAGGGGGCAGCGAUGGGCUACAUUUUCUACCAUAACAGAACACCACCAAACACCACAUGAAACAUGGGGUUAAAAGGCGGAUUUAGCAGUAAGCCAGACA